AACGCCCAUCAAGUCGAAUGGCGGGGCAUUUGAAUAUAUAGCUCCAAAGGAAGGACAACAAAACAAAUUUCGCGCCUUCGAAAACAAGAUGACGUCACUUUUGCUUAUAACGGACAUGGCGUCACAUUAUUUUUUCUUCCGCCGGAAGUGUUCCCACCACAUACAGAUGGCGCUAAGCCCCAUGAACCGCCGAUGGACCGCCAUGUUUUGAACGUAUGGGCUCCUAUGGAAGCUUCGCUACCAGGUAUAUUUACCUUGCGUCAUGCGCCAGACAAGCCGCAGGAGUGAGCGAGGCCGGUCGUACGUGCGAAGCUCGCGUGCUCGGCGACCCGUCUGUUUUGGAUAUAGCCCAUUUUUUGGGCUCCCGGCCUUCUCCAUGCUUCUCUUGCGUAUCGUCUGCAUUUCGACACGGCACCACUGCACUACUGGACUACGGCAAACUGAUGGCAUCCGGUGGAGCAUCGUACGGCAACGACUUCUGCUUACCUGGUGCCACAACUUUGGAUGAAUGCAGAAGAAGCCCGGAACGAGCAUUUAUAUAGAGCAAAAUAAACAUUUCAUCAUUUCAGAA
RNAcentral lists this long non-coding RNA (571 nucleotides) under Dermacentor andersoni. RNAcentral's name for it is "uncharacterized LOC126546092". Lineage: Eukaryota; Metazoa; Arthropoda; Arachnida; Ixodida; Ixodidae. The record is from RNAcentral.